Molecule: long non-coding RNA, 4942 nt
Organism: Papaver somniferum (opium poppy)
Lineage: Eukaryota; Viridiplantae; Streptophyta; Magnoliopsida; Ranunculales; Papaveraceae
Exons: 3
Source: RefSeq, a predicted model, not a curated record
CUGGAGGAAGAAAGCGGGUUUUAUGUUUAGAUCAAAAAUGGUAGAAAUCCAUGAUAUAUCUUCAUCUACUGACAAAGAGACAUUAUUAGUGAACCACAUUGUUACUGGAAGCAAUGGAACUGAUCAUAACAUUGACAUACCAUCAAAAGGGAGAGUUUCUGAUGAUGAUGAUGAAAUCUACAAUUUCUACAAAGAAUAUGCUAAAAAACUAGGGUUUCCUGUACACAGAAGAGCGAAAAAAGAGAAAUGAUGAUGGAUGUGUCUUUUGGUUGUGCAAGAGGAGGUAAACAUCAAACAAAAGCUGUAAACCCAAGAGGGAGUAUGGAAACUGGAUUUGGGGCUUAUAUUGCAUGUUGAAGGCGACAAGGGGAUGGGAAAUGGGGUUAUGUCAGUAGUUAAGUUGGAGCAUAAUCAUAAGUGUAAUCUGGAGGAUGUGAAAUCCUAUAAGUGUUUUGAACCAGUUUGUAGUAGUGCGCGGCGGAUUGAUCUUAAUGGUGGGGGUCGACUGCGAAAAAGAAGAAGGCGAAAAUAGCGGUUCAAAAUGAGGGUGUAGGAUGUGCCGAAAUGGUUGCUGAGCAAAAUGCAAUUGGUGAAGGAAGACGUCUACGGAUUGGCAAGGGAGAUGUGGAAGGGCUUUUGAAAUUUUUUGUGAAGAUGAAUGGUGAAAACUCGGGAUUUUAUUGGCAAGCUGAAUUUUUUGCAAGACAACCAAUGGUUGAAGGAUUUGUUUGAAGAAAGGAGUCGCCGGGUACCAUGUUAUCUGAAGGACACAUUUUGGGCAGGAAUGUAUCGAACACUCAAAGAAGUGAAGGAAGUAACGUGUUUUUCGACGGGUAUAUAGAUACAAGGUCUUCAAUUAAACAGUUGGUGGAGCAAUACGAAGUUGCGUUAAGGAAGAAUGUGGAGAAGGAAAAGGAAAAGUUAGCGGAUGAUGCGAUCGUCUCUAAAAACUAUUCCCUUGGUAACUACUUACCCUAUGGAGAAACAGAUACAAAAAAGGUAUACUAACUCAAAAUUUAAAGAAUUUCAAGUUGAGUUAUUACCAAUGUUGUAUUGUAACUUCGCCAAGAUUGAAAAAACACCCACCCGUACGAUCUACAUCAUCCAAGAAGACGUGUAUAUUGAGGAUUUUCGUAAAAAGAUGACUUUUCAUGUGGCAUAUAAUUCAGAAGAAUGUGAUGUUCUUGUCAGAAGUUUAUAGUUGACGGAAUUCAAUGCAGCCAUGCUCUAAGUGUAUUGUGUCAUAACGGUGUAAGAAAACUCACAGAUAAAUACAUCUUGAGAUGGUGGCGGAAAAACGUGAUAAGAGCUCAUACAAAGGUUAAAGUGGGUUAUAGUUGCUGGACUAAUCAUGAGGCGACUAAGCGUUACCAUGAUUUGUGUACUAAAUUUGCUGAGCUUGCUGCUUUGGCAGCAAAUGAUGAGACUCUUUAUUGCGAUAUCCUCAACUGGUUGGACUGUAAAAAAAAACGGAACUGCAACAGACAGUAUGAAAGCUAAGAAAAGCAAAAUACUCAAUGGAAAACAACUUGGAAGAAAAUGUAGAGGAGAUAAAGAUCGUGAAAGUGAAGAAGGUGGUAAAACGUAGCUGCGUUGUUCUCUUCAAUUUAAAAUACAAUUAAAAGGUAGGCAAACGGUAUCAAAUGUAAGAAUGUAAACUGAAAAGUGGUGGUGGGAUCAAGAAACCUCCUCCUUUGUUGCAGACCACGGUAAUGUAUGGUUACUUUGCUGCUGCUUUCACUUUCAAUUCGAUUUUGUGUUUAUCAAUUACAAUUAACAAAGAUGUCCUAUGAUAAUAUGAUCUUAGUAACGACUUUACUUUCUUCCAUUUCGGUCCAAAUUCUUGUUCGGGUAGAGAUUUUUAGGACUUAAUGAAUCCCGAAAGCUAAUGUGAGAUAACUGAGCAGGACUCUUGAUCCCAAAUUUAGGUUUGGAAGCAAGAAAUCACCCCCAGUUAGAUUAACUUUCAAAUUACUUUAAUAUGGUCUUUCUUAACCUUUAUGAAUUACAAGCACUCUCCAUCUCCAGCAGCUGUAUAACCUGUUGCCAAGGAUCUGCGAUUCCACAUUUUCGUCAAUUGUUACUUUUCUGCAAUAACGUUGUUUUUGCUUGUUUAUAUGUUCAAACUAUACAUUCUAAAUUCAACAGUAGAUCUUAUAUUUCUUUCCUAUCUUAUGAAUUUAAGUUUUCAUUCUACUUUCAUCCUUCAUGUGUAUCACUCACUCUAUAGAUUGUUUACUUAGUUUCAUGUAAGUAAGCAAUAAUUUGUACCCCAUUAGUCGUGGAAUAGAUAAUACUUCCAAGGCCUUAGUUAGUUGUGCUUUGUGAAAAGCGUAACAGAUUGGAUUCCACUUGAGAAGUACCUAGAACCAUUUUUCAGAUCUCAAGACAAAUAUUGUUUAGGUUAUAUCUUCGAUUCAUUUAUUGAACUGAGUACGACGACUAUUUUUAUUCACAGAAUCACAAAUAGGGAACUGGAAUUCUAUUGGAUGGGCUUUCUGUAACUGGAAUUUGUUCAACUUUAUCAAGUUCAAGUAAUUAUACAUCUGCAUGUCGUAUCAAUAGUUAUUAAUUCCUUGACAGUGGCCUAUACUUUCAGCCAACGUAUUUUCCAAUAGUUGUACUACAACUGCUUCUAGUUUCUUUCUUGAAGUAUGUUGGGGUGCAAACCAUUUGAAAUAGGCUUGGUUAGCUAGCAUCCAAGUGUUAUUUAGACGAAAUUACUGGUAGUGGUGGACCCAGUAUAGGCAUCGGGUGGCAAUUGCCCCACCUCCAUUGCAUAUCCUGGCUCCGCUACUGCUUGUAGUUUUCCCUAAGUUUCUCUCGUACAAAUGCAGAUGAAUAUAGAGAAGCUUCAGAAGAUGGCUGGUGCGAUGUGCAUUGGUGGAAAUGGAAGCGUUAGAAGGUCUACUGGAUUCUUCUUUGGUUUUCUUUUCUCCCUAUUUUUUUUAUUAUCUUUAUUGUGUUGCUGUGUGCUCGACUAUUCUGGUCCUUAGUAUAAUUCUGGACUUAUUCUUCAAAAAGAAUGUUAUUUUUCCGCCAUCACCUGGAUUAUAUAAUCUAUUGUUAUGAUAAUUCAUAACAAGAAUGCAUCUGACAACAGGAAUAUAUUCUUGCUUGUUCAUGCAAGUGUUAUGACGUUUUCUGUAUUUUUUUCAUUGCUAACCUAGGGGAAUGGACUUGCACUCGGUGUUCACAUUUCAACUGUUGAAAGUACUACGGAUUAUCGCAGUUCACCGUUGUUCUUUUUCUCGAAAUUCUAUAGCUAUGGCCAGGAAUAGCUUGGCUUGUUUUAUUAGUUUUUGGGUGGGAUUUUUAUCAUCUAUCCUGGUGUUCUCUUUGGGUUAUCACAGGAUGGGUGAUCGUUUGGCUUAUCACUUAUUCUUUUUUGCUCUCUUCACUUCGCGUUGAAUUAACAAUAUAUCACUGAUGAUGCCAGCCUGUCAUUUAACUCAUUUUUUUUUUUGAAAUCAAUUUUUUAUCACUAAAACAGUAAUAGACCGGAUUAAAGGAGAUGAAAGUGGCUUUAGGGGCAAUUGCCCCCUCCUCCCAGACCUUAGUUGCCUUGAGGAGACCAUAGUGUUUUUUUAAGGGGCAGUUGCCCCCAUACCUAAGCUAGCCAAAGGAAACAGAUAGUGCAAUAAUGAUGCAAACAGAUAGUGUUAUAAUGUUGCAAUUUGCACCAUUAUUUGCACUAUCCUGUCUCCACCCCUGGGGUUGAGCAAUUUUUUUUUUUACUGUUAGCCUUCAAAACGAUGUUUGCUGAUGAGGCUAAAUUUGUCGCUUUUCAGAGGCAAUGUAAAUUAGAGAGGAACCUUGAUGUUUAAAGCGUUUUGUUAUGAGCUUAUGAUUGUUUUUUAGGUCUGUUUCUUACAUAAAUUAUCUUGGUUUGUUUUUCCAUCCCAAAUGAUUGCAGUUCAAGUCUUGCAAGGAAGUUGUUCCGUAUUUGCUCUCUCUUUCAGAACCUCAAGAUGUUUAGCAUCCAAACAAUGUUAAUAGUUCUGAGGACAUGGAUGGGGUGCAUAACUUAGCUUCUGGAAGUGAAAGCCAAGUUGUUUGAGUAGAGUUAGUUUAAAUCCAAUUAAGCAUAUCUUUAUCUCUUUGAGAUUAUGUGAUUUACUCUCUUGGGAGCAGCAAGAGAAAAGAAGAAAAUCUGCUGGCUUUCAUGGGCUAAGAUUUGCAGACCCAAGGAAAGCGGUCGUUUGGAAAUAAGAAAUCUCAGGCUAACCAAUCAAGCUCUAUUAGCAAAAUGGUGAUGGCUAUAAUGAGGAGAAGAUGGCUCUCUGGAGAAUGGUGGUGCUAACUCAACAGGCUGAUGAGAUAUCUUGCAAAUUUGCUAAACAAGAACUUAAAUUUUGAACUAAAGAUCUUUAUGCAUGGCUCUGCAGUCAGCAAUUGUGUUCUAACCAAUCUCUUCAGAGGAGGGUGUGCCAAUCACUUCUGCUAGAUGCUCUCUCUGUGUUAAAGAUGAAGAAUCUGUCAGCCAUAUAUUCCUCCAUAUAUUCCUUCAAAGAUCUGGAACUACUUGAUGGAUAGUUGUGAGCUGGGCUGGGUAAUAGGUGCUGAUUUGCCGUUGGAGCUUGGAAGCACAAGAGAGGGGAAAAUAAAGGUAUGGAAAUCUGGCCAUUACUAUUUUUGCUGUCAUUUGGGUAGAAAGAACAGAAGAGUAAUGACUAGAAAGAAUGGCAGGAAGGAGGAUGACAUUACCAAUGAAGUGUUUGGAGUGCUACUCGAAAUCUUUUUAGAACAGUGUUGUUUAGUUAACUAAUUUCACACUGGGAUACUGUUCUUGAAAUUGAGACUAAGUCAGGAUUGUUGGGUUUGUCCAAUGGAAGUGGGCUUUCUUGUAAUGCAAAGCACGUUGUAUUGAUUCUGAUGCCUUCGUAAGUUUAAAUGGUUGUUCUGUUUGGUGUUUUGUUCUCAAAUUAGUUUUUUGAAAUUA